Molecule: RNA transcript, 1459 nt
Organism: Carcharodon carcharias (great white shark)
Lineage: Eukaryota; Metazoa; Chordata; Chondrichthyes; Lamniformes; Lamnidae
Gene name: stathmin-like
Exons: 6
Source: RefSeq, a predicted model, not a curated record
UGUUGGGCUGAGGUAAAGGAAGCAUAUGUUUUGAUGCGGCUCUGAUAGUCCUUACUCUACAGACAGACGCGAGAGUUAUUCAUGCUCGAUGUUUGUUGGGGAGGGGACCGACCACACCACCAUCCCCUCCCCCGCAGUUUUCUUUGUUUGGCAACUGCCUCGUGUUUUAAAAGGCCAACAACAACAACUGGUGUGAGAAAACAUGGUGGAAAACUGGUGUGCCCGUUCCAAGGUCUGUUCUUCACAUUGAACACUUUUCCUGAGGUGUCCAGUUUUGUUUCUGUUCCCUUUCGCUGAACAUGGCUUGUACUGAUAUUAGGGUAAAAGAACUAGACAAGCGUUCUUCAGGCCAGGCUUUUGAGAUCAUUCUGAGCCCCACAGCUGAAACAAUUCCAGAAUUUCCUCUUUCUCCCAAGAAAGAUCGGUCACUUGAAGAUCUUCAAAAAAAAAUGGAAGCUGCAGAGAACAGACGAAAGUCACAUGAAGCAGAAGUUCUGAAGCAGUUGGCUGAAAAACAGGAGCAUGUAAAGGAAGUGCUUCAGAGAGCUAUUGAAGAAAAUACCAAAUUCAGCAAAAUGGCAGAGGAAAGACUGAUCUCCAAGAUGGAACUUAUUAAGGAGAACCGUGAAGCUCAGUUAGCUGCCAAGCUUGAGCGUCUUCGUGAAAAGGGCUGUGACUGAUGCAGGGGCAUAGUUCUAUGGGUGCUGGCAGCCCUUCAGUACCAUGUCCAACUAGCCAGUUUUCAUGUGAGUCUAAACAAUGAGUGCUGCCAACUUUUUGAACCGUGGUGGGUUAUUGAAGCUGAGUCUGUUUCUGUUCAUGAUUGCCAUUUUCAGCAUAUGAGACCAUGGCUCUGAGUGGCAACAGAAGCAUGGAUCACAACUUGGACCGUGUGGUCAAAGCCAUAAAAGACCAACAGUAUGUGGCGCAUUUACCCACUGAGCCAUUGAGGGGGCCUGUUGGAAAAUUCCAACCUAUUAAUGUCUUUCAACGACAAGGACAAGCACCUGGAGGAAGUGAGAAAGAACAGAGAAAGCAAAGAAACCGAAGAACUUGUUUAACCUUGUGCAUUUUUGAAAUGAGGGUUUUCAAAAAUACAGUUUUUAAAAGAAAAAUUAAAGUCAAUGUAUUGAACAAAACCCUCUUACAGUGCAUUAAAAACAUGUAACCAGGAAUAAGAACACACACUGAAUUGGGGUGAUUGCGGGAGUGGGGGUGGGGAGAAAAGAAAAACUACAAUAUAGUUCUACCUUUGCUAGUCAUUUCAAAUAUUACAGCUGUUUGUAUCAUUUUUUUGCAUUGCUGGUACUAUAUGGAGUCUAAAAUUUUUUUUAAAUAUGUAGUUUUCACCUUGUUUCUUCAGUGACAGCUGUUUAUGCUAUAUGUUACAUUUUUAGUCCUAACGUGUAGUUGUCCAAGCAUGCCUCAACUGUAUCUUUAAAUAAAACUGCAUUAAUUG